Molecule: ribosomal RNA, 402 nt
Filed under: bacterium
Lineage: Bacteria
Description: partial 16S ribosomal RNA
Rfam family: Bacterial small subunit ribosomal RNA
Source: RNAcentral
UGGGGAAUUUUGCACAAUGGGGGAAACCCUGAUGCAGCGACGCCGCGUGAUUUAGAAGGCCUUCGGGUUGUAAAAAUCUUUUUUACGGGAUGAAAAUGACAGUACCGUAAGAAUAAGGUCCGGCUAAAUACGUGCCAGCAGCCGCGGUAAUACGUAUGGACCGAGCGUUGUCCGGAAUCAUUGGGCGUAAAGGGUACGUAGGCGGCCUAGUAAGUUAGAAGUGAAAUAAUAUAGCUCAACUAUAUAAAGCUUUUAAAACUGCUAGGCUUGAGAGAUGGAAGGGAAAGUGGAAUUCCUAGUGUAGCAGUGAAAUGCGCAGAUAUUAGGAAGAAUACCGGUGGCGAAGGCGACUUUCUGGUCAUCAUCUGACGCUGAGGUACGAAAGCGUGGGUAGCAAACAGG